Solea solea (common sole) is the source of this 1188-nucleotide long non-coding RNA. RefSeq lists it as uncharacterized. The record is from RefSeq and is a predicted model, not a curated record. Lineage: Eukaryota; Metazoa; Chordata; Actinopteri; Pleuronectiformes; Soleidae. The transcript has 2 exons.
AAUAGAAAUAUAAAUCUGAAAUAAAUAUUUUUCUGUGUCCAGGAACAAAGUUUUAACAUCAUUUGAGGCGAGAAAUUAGUCAUUUAGAAUUCAAACAUGUGGUUUGUGUAUGAAGAUAUGACGUAUUUAUAGUUUGGCAGCGACGUUUGUCGGAGGUGAUCCGCUCCGCCUCUGUGGACGCUCAGCGCUCACUGUGCCCGGCACAGAGCAGCGUUACCUCGGCCUGUCCUGAUGAAAUGAUCCGCUGGCUCAGACGUCGCUGUCAUUAAUGCUCGGUGUGAUCCAUAGAUUUGUUGUGGACGUGUUAUUUUGUUUUUAAUGGAAACGUUUUGACCUGACAGUUUGAAGUGUUCUCUCCUACGCCGUGGUGUGCUGGGGCGGGAGCACAACUAAGGCAGACUUCCACAGACUGGAAAAACUCAUCAGGCGGGCCGGCUCGGUGGUAGGAAUGAGGCUGGACCCUCUGGUGACAGUGGCAGAGAGAAAAACUGUGGACAAACUGCUGAGCAUCCUGGACAAUGCCAGCCACCCUCUGCACACUGUCAUCAGCAGCCAGAGGAGCCACAGAAGCCUCAGCAACAGGCUGCUCCUCCCAAAAUACAGGACCAACAGGCUGGGGGACUCGUUUGUCCCCCGGGCCAUCAAACUGUACAACUCCUCACUGGGGGGGAGGAGGGCAAACAAGCAAACAAAAAAUAAAAAAACCGGUACGAACUAAACAAACAACAACCACAACAAUAACAUAAUGUGCAAUAAAACCAUAGACAUGUGCAAUAAAACCCUGGGCAUUACGGGGUAACUCUAGGUGUGUGUGUACCUAUACCUAUGUGUGUGUGUAUAUAUAUAUAUAUAUAUGUAUAUAUGUGUGUAUAUGUAUGUAUGUAUGUGUAUGUAUGCAUAUAUAUGUAUAUGUGUAUGUAUAUGUAUGUAUGAGUGCGUAUGUAUGCAUGUAUCUGUGUAUGUAUGUAUGUAUAUAUAUAUAUAUACAUUGGUUGUGUGUAUGUAGGUAUACAUACAUAUAUAUAGCAUGGGUCACUUUCAUUUUUAUUUUUAUAUUUUUAUUUUUAUUCUUAUUCUUAUCUUAUUUUAUUCUAUUCUCUAUUUUUAACAGUGCUGUGUAUGGAUGCUGGAGCUGUUAAUUUCCCCGAGGGAACCUCCCAAAGGGAUUAAUAAAGUCGUCUGUCUGUC